UGAGGAACAUGACCUUCGGCGGGGGAUAGCCGACCCAACGGCCGGGUAAUACCGCGUACGACCACUU
RNAcentral lists this ribosomal RNA (67 nucleotides) under uncultured bacterium. RNAcentral's name for it is "partial 16S ribosomal RNA". The record is from RNAcentral.